UAGAACACAGGUAGCCAGAGAUACGAA
RNAcentral lists this small RNA (27 nucleotides) under Bombyx mori (domestic silkworm). RNAcentral describes it as "ovarian small RNA-21774". The record is from RNAcentral. Lineage: Eukaryota; Metazoa; Arthropoda; Insecta; Lepidoptera; Bombycidae.